UCAUCAUCAUCAUCUUCACUCUCUCAUCACUACCUUUAAAAACAACACCUAAUAUCAUCAUACCCAUAAAUCUUCUAACAACAACACAUAACAUUGAGUUAAAAUUCUGCAUAAAUCUUCAUAAAUCCAAACCUUCAUCGUAGGAACAUUGAGAGUUGUUUCCCUCAAUAAAAUCCAGCAACAAACAACAAUUGAUUAAAUCCAUAAGAAAAUCCUCAAACCCAAAUGAAAUUGAUUGAAUCCAUGAAUCAACAACAACAACAACAAUUGAAUCCAUGAAUCAACACAACACAUUUCCGAGAUCCUCGUCAUAGCUGACAGUUUAGAAGGAGAUUUUCAAUUUACAGUAGCAAGGAAUUUGGAAUUAGAAUUAGGAGUGGAUCUCUGUGUUUCUUCUUAACAUCUAUCAUCUUUUUUCUUCAUUGAAUAUGGAAUUGAUGAAUGGAAGAGGAAGAAGAGUUGGGAUAAAAGAAUUGGAAUGAUAUGAUUUUUUGGUGAAGGACAAUCAGAGAAAAAGAGUUAGGAGAGAUUUGCUGCACUUUUGCUUGAAUAUUAGGUGUUGAAUGAUUUAGGGAUUUGCUGCAAAAACAUGAUGAAGGAAGAAGCAAAGAUCCAAGAUAAAAAUUCAUAAAUGGGCAUCGAAAUAAUGGUUUUUUGAGAGAAGAA
RNAcentral lists this long non-coding RNA (666 nucleotides) under Medicago truncatula (barrel medic). RNAcentral's name for it is "long non-coding RNA (MTRU_LNC008009)". Lineage: Eukaryota; Viridiplantae; Streptophyta; Magnoliopsida; Fabales; Fabaceae. The record is from RNAcentral.